GGGGCGGUGGCGAAAUGGCAGACGCUGCGGACUUAAAAUCCGCUGGAACCCAAUCCAUGAGGGUUCGAGUCCCUCCCGCCCCA
This 83-nucleotide transfer RNA is filed under the name Chloroflexi bacterium ADurb.Bin180. Its description in RNAcentral is "tRNA-Leu". It matches the Rfam family "tRNA". Rfam says of the family: Transfer RNA (tRNA) molecules are approximately 80 nucleotides in length. Their secondary structure includes four short double-helical elements and three loops (D, anti-codon, and T loops). RNAcentral also lists the same sequence under 1 other name. Lineage: Bacteria; Bacillati; Chloroflexota. The record is from RNAcentral.